Melanotaenia boesemani (Boeseman's rainbowfish) is the source of this 905-nucleotide long non-coding RNA. RefSeq lists it as uncharacterized. The transcript has 2 exons. NCBI's taxonomy places the organism in Eukaryota, Metazoa, Chordata, Actinopteri, Atheriniformes, Melanotaeniidae. The record is from RefSeq and is a predicted model, not a curated record.
CCCUGCUUCCCCGUCGUACUUCCGCAUUCCCCAUUAACACACCGUAGCAUUUAAGCGCCGCAAUAACCAGGUACAGGUAAGCUGUGCUCCUGCUGCUUCAUUGCUUCGGCUUUGUCACUGUUGCUGCCGUUAACCUGACGCUGUCUGAUGCAGCCUCUGUUGCCGCUUGCUUGGUGUCUGCUGGUGGAAGGACCACGGCGAGUUUUCUUUUGUUUUUAGGUAUUAUAUAUUUCUUUAUUUAGUAGUUUCAAUAUAUUUUGGAGUGUUUCUGUGCUUUGGUUAUUAACAGCAUUUUUGUCUCUUCCUUAGAAGCCGUAGGCCACUGCUGUUUCUAUUUGGGUCUAUUUUUGGUUUAAUUUAAGUUAUAUUGUGUUUUUCUUAGGUCUAGUACCUAGUGCUGCAUUUCGUAUUUGUCUUAUUUUCUUUCACUUAGUCUUCUUUUUAUUUUUAGAGCCCUUCUCUCUUUUAAAACACUGAUUUUAUUUUAAUAUUGUGCUCCUUUUUGCCGCAGGGUCUGGUCCGAGCGUGGCUGCCCGGGAAGGUGGAGGGUUUUGGUGAUAGAGUCUCUCACUCCAGCCCCAUCACUCCUUGCGUGACGUGGGAUUUUUGCACACCCCUCACACAUUUUGCAUGCUUUUGUUGUCCUGUUGUUUGCUGUGGAUGUGUGUGUGUCUUACACGGAGCGUAGUGAGUACUCUGUUCCAUAGAAAACUGCGGCCUCUCACCGCGUGCACCCGCGGCCGGCCAGCCCCCCUGGUAUUUGUUAACUUGGUGAGCACAUUGUCCCAAUAGUUUCUUUUUCUUUCCAUAGAUUUUUAGAAUUAAACUUUAUCGUUCUUUUAGUGAUUUUAAUAUUGUUGCCUGUCUUUACAUUUGUUUGUUGUAAAUAAAUUUGGUUAAACUUA